UACAGAGGUGGCAAGCGUUGUUCGGAAUUACUGGGCGUAAAGGGCGAGUAGGUGGCCAUCUAAGUCAGACGUGAAAUCCCCCGGCUUAACCUGGGAACUGCGUCUGAUACUGGACGGCUAGAGUAUGGGAGAGGGAUGUAGAAUUCCAGGUGUAGCGGUGAAAUGCGUAGAUAUCUGGAGGAACACCGAUGGCGAAGGCGGCAUCCUGGACCGGUAUUGACGCUGAUGCGCGAAAGCCAGGGGAGCAAACGGG
RNAcentral lists this ribosomal RNA (253 nucleotides) under uncultured bacterium. Its description in RNAcentral is "partial 16S ribosomal RNA". It matches the Rfam family "Bacterial small subunit ribosomal RNA", at positions 524 to 776 of the family's 1533-position model. The record is from RNAcentral.